This 73-nucleotide transfer RNA is filed under the name Ailuropoda melanoleuca (giant panda). It matches the Rfam family "tRNA". From Rfam's summary of the family: Transfer RNA (tRNA) molecules are approximately 80 nucleotides in length. Their secondary structure includes four short double-helical elements and three loops (D, anti-codon, and T loops). Lineage: Eukaryota; Metazoa; Chordata; Mammalia; Carnivora; Ursidae. The record is from Rfam by way of RNAcentral.
GCCUGGCUGGCUAAGUCAGUGAAGCGUAUGAUUCUUGAUCUUGAGGUUGUGAGUUCAAGCCCCAUACUGGGUG